GAUGAACGCUGGCGGCGUGCCUAAUACAUGCAAGUCGAGCGAACGGACGAGAAGCUUGCUUCCCUGAUGUUAGCGGCGGACGGGUGAGUAAUACGUGGAUAACCUACCUAUAUGACUGGGAUAACUUCGGGAAACCGGAGCUAAUACCGGCUAAUAUUUUGAACCGCAUGGUUCAAAAGUGAAAGACGGUCUUGCUGUCACUUAUAGAUGGAUCCGCGCUGCAUUAGCUAGUUGGUAAGGUAACGGCUUACCAAGGCAACGAUGCAUAGCCGACCUGAGAGCGUGAUCAGCCACACUGGAACUGAGACACGGUCCAGACUCCUACUGGAGGCAACAGUAGGGAAUCUUCCGCGAUGGGCGAAAGCCUGACAGAGCAACACGGCGUCAGUGAUGAAGGUCUUCGGAUCGUAAGACUCUGUUAUUAGGGAAGAACAUAUGUGUAAGUAACUGUGCACAUCUUGACGGUACCUAAUCAGAAAGCCACGGCUAACUACGUG
RNAcentral lists this ribosomal RNA (497 nucleotides) under uncultured bacterium. RNAcentral describes it as "partial 16S ribosomal RNA". It matches the Rfam family "Bacterial small subunit ribosomal RNA", at positions 28 to 507 of the family's 1533-position model. The record is from RNAcentral.